RNAcentral lists this ribosomal RNA (731 nucleotides) under uncultured bacterium. RNAcentral describes it as "bacterial SSU rRNA". It matches the Rfam family "Bacterial small subunit ribosomal RNA", at positions 771 to 1501 of the family's 1533-position model. The record is from RNAcentral.
AACAGGAUUAGAUACCCUGGUAGUCCACGCCGUAAACGAUGUCUACUAGCUGUUCGUGGUCUUGUACUGUGAGUAGCGCAGCUAACGCACUAAGUAGACCGCCUGGGGAGUACGGUCGCAAGAUUAAAACUCAAAUGAAUUGACGGGGGCCCGCACAAGCGGUGGAGCAUGUGGUUUAAUUCGACGCAACGCGAAGAACCUUACCUACUCUUGACAUCUACGGAAGUUUGCAGAGAUGCAGACGUGCCUUCGGGAACCGUAAGACAGGUGCUGCAUGGCUGUCGUCAGCUCGUGUUGUGAAAUGUUGGGUUAAGUCCCGCGACGAGCGCAACCCUUAUCCUUAGUUGCCAGCACGUAAUGGUGGGAACUCUAGGGAGACUGCCGGUGAUAAACCGGAGGAAGGUGGGGACGACGUCAAGUCAUCAUGGCCCUUACGAGUAGGGCUACACACGUGCUACAAUGGUAUGUACAGAGGGAGGCAAGCUGGCGACAGUGAGCGGAUCUCUUAAAGCAUAUCGUAGUCCGGAUCGCAGUCUGCAACUCGACUGCGUGAAGUCGGAAUCGCUAGUAAUCGCAAAUCAGAAUGUUGCGGUGAAUACGUUCCCGGGCCUUGUACACACCGCCCGUCACACCAUGGGAGUGGGUUGCAAAAGAAGUAGGUAGCUUAACCUUCGGGAGGGCGCUUACCACUUUGUGAUUCAUGACUGGGGUGAAGUCGUAACAAGGUAACC